GAGUUUGAUCCUGGCUCANAACGAACGCUGACGGCGUGCUUAACACAUGCCAAGUCGCACGAGAACUUCCACCUUCGGGUGGAUUAGUAAAGUAGCGCACGGGUGAGUAACGCGUGGAUAAUCUGCCUUCAAGUAGGGGAUAACAUUGCGAAAGCGAUGAUAAUACCGCAUAAGCUCACGAUUUGAUUAGUUGUGGGAAAAGAUGGCCUCUGUAUAUGCUAUCGCUUGAAGAUGAGUCCGCGUACCAUUAGCUUGUUGGUAGGGUAAUGGCCUACCAAGGCUUCGAUGGUUAGCUGGCCUGAGAGGGCGGCCAGCCACACUGGAACUGAGACACGGUCCAGACUCCUACGGGAGGCAGCAGUGGGGAAUAUUGCGCAAUGGGGGAAACCCUGACGCAGCGACGCCGUGUGAGUGAUGAAGGUUUUCGGAUCGUAAAGCUCUGUCGGGUGGGAAGAAUAAAGGCUGUGUAAAUAAUGCAGUCUGAUGACGGUACCACCAAAGGAAGCACCGGCUAACUCCGUGCCAGCAGCCGCGGUAAUACGGAGGGUGCAAGCGUUGUUCGGAAUUAUUGGGCGUAAAGGGCGUGUAGGCGGGUAUGUAGGUCAGGUGUGAAAGCCCUCGGCUCAACCGAGGAAGUGCAUUUGAAACCGCAUGUCUUGAGUACGAGAGAGGCAGAUGGAAUUCCCAGUGUAGAGGUGAAAUUCAUAGAUAUUGGGAAGAACACCGGUGGCGAAGGCGGUCUGCUGGCUCGAUACUGACGCUGAGACGCGAAAGCGUGGGGAGCAAACAGGAU
Molecule: ribosomal RNA, 793 nt
Filed under: uncultured bacterium
Lineage: Bacteria
Description: bacterial SSU rRNA
Rfam family: Bacterial small subunit ribosomal RNA
Source: RNAcentral